Non-coding RNA from Erythranthe guttata (spotted monkey flower), 88 nucleotides. The record is from Rfam. NCBI's taxonomy places the organism in Eukaryota, Viridiplantae, Streptophyta, Magnoliopsida, Lamiales, Phrymaceae.
UGGCUGUGAUGACAAUCGCGCUAUCGCAACGGUUGGGUCUGUUGCUCUCGUCUGAUCAUCAGAUGAAAAUUCCAGCGCUGCUGAGCCU